GAGCUCGUAGGCGGUUUGUCGCGUCUGCUGUGAAAGCCCGGGGCUCAACCCCGGGUCUGCAGUGGGUACGGGCAGACUAGAGUGCAGUAGGGGAGACUGGAAUUCCUGGUGUAGCGGUGAAAUGCGCAGAUAUCAGGAGGAACACCGAUGGCGAAGGCAGGUCUCUGGGCUGUAACUGACGCUGAGGAGCGAAAGCAUGGGGAGCGAACAGGAUUAGAUACCCUGGUAGUCCAUGCCGUAAACGUUGGGCACUAGGUGUGGGGGACAUUCCACGUUUUCCGCGCCGUAGCUAACGCAUUAAGUGCCCCGCCUGGGGAGUACGGCCGCAAGGCUAAAACUCAAAGGAAUUGACGGGGGCCCGCACAAGCGGCGGAGCAUGCGGAUUAAUUCGAUGCAACGCGAAGAACCUUACCAAGGCUUGACAUGAACCGGUAAGACCUGGAAACAGGUCCCCCACUUGUGGCCGGUUUACAGGUGGUGCAUGGUUGUCGUCAGCUCGUGUCGUGAGAUGUUGGGUUAAGUCCCGCAACGAGCGCAACCCUCGUUCUAUGUUGCCAGCGGGUUAUGCCGGGGACUCAUAGGAGACUGCCGGGGUCAACUCGGAGGAAGGUGGGGACGACGUCAAAUCAUCAUGCCCCUUAUGUCUUGGGCUUCACGCAUGCUACAAUGGCCGGUACAAAGGGUUGCGAUACUGUGAGGUGGAGCUAAUCCCAAAAAGCCGGUCUCAGUUCGGAUUGAGGUCUGCAACUCGACCUCAUGAA
This 761-nucleotide ribosomal RNA is filed under the name Arthrobacter koreensis. RNAcentral's name for it is "bacterial SSU rRNA". It matches the Rfam family "Bacterial small subunit ribosomal RNA", at positions 565 to 1324 of the family's 1533-position model. The record is from RNAcentral. Lineage: Bacteria; Bacillati; Actinomycetota; Actinomycetes; Micrococcales; Micrococcaceae.